This 349-nucleotide unclassified non-coding RNA is filed under the name Nocardia vinacea. RNAcentral describes it as "16S-23S ribosomal RNA intergenic spacer". The record is from RNAcentral. Lineage: Bacteria; Bacillati; Actinomycetota; Actinomycetes; Mycobacteriales; Nocardiaceae.
CUAAGGAGCACUUCUACGUAACUCUUCGAAGAGUCGAAUGAUGUUGCGUCAGAGACCGUUUCGGAAACAUGUGUUUUCCGGCGGACGCUCAUGGGUGGAACACUGACAAGCUUCAUCGCACCAAGGUUUCGGCUCUGUCCGGAAUCGCGGUGAAUAUAUCGGCACACUGUUGGGUCCUGAGAGAACAGACGUUCUUUCCAGGCAAGGUAACGACAAGAUCUGGUGGUCACGCAGACCGCAUCUUCUUUUGAGGGUGGGCAUGGUGGUGAUCGAAGCCAGGUUUUGUGUGUUGUUUGAGAACUGCACAGUGGACGCGAGCAUCUUUGUUUGUAAGUGUUUAAGAGCGUAC